GAAGAAAUCAAAGAAAAAGAAGGGAAAGAAAAAUAAGAACUAGGUAUAAAAAAGUUUUAUUUGUGUCCGUGCUCUUCCAAUAGUUGUU
RNAcentral lists this non-coding RNA (88 nucleotides) under Mucochytrium quahogii. The record is from RNAcentral. Lineage: Eukaryota; Bigyra; Thraustochytrida; Thraustochytriidae.